This 638-nucleotide ribosomal RNA is filed under the name uncultured bacterium. RNAcentral describes it as "bacterial SSU rRNA". It matches the Rfam family "Bacterial small subunit ribosomal RNA", at positions 85 to 721 of the family's 1533-position model. The record is from RNAcentral.
UUGCCGGCGACCGGCGCACGGGUGAGUAACGCGUAUCCAACCUUCCGUACACUCAGGGAUAGCCUUUCGAAAGAAAGAUUAAUACCUGAUGGUAUGAUGAGAUUGCAUGAUAGCAUCAUUAAAGAUUUAUCGGUGUACGAUGGGGAUGCGUUCCAUUAGGUAGUAGGCGGGGUAACGGCCCACCUAGCCAACGAUGGAUAGGGGUUCUGAGAGGAAGGUCCCCCACAUUGGAACUGAGACACGGUCCAAACUCCUACGGGAGGCAGCAGUGAGGAAUAUUGGUCAAUGGACGAGAGUCUGAACCAGCCAAGUAGCGUGAAGGAUGAAGGUCCUACGGAUUGUAAACUUCUUUUAUAAGGGAAUAAACCCUCCCACGUGUGGGAGCUUGUAUGUACCUUAUGAAUAAGCAUCGGCUAACUCCGUGCCAGCAGCCGCGGUAAUACGGAGGAUGCGAGCGUUAUCCGGAUUUAUUGGGUUUAAAGGGAGCGCAGACGGGUCGUUAAGUCAGCUGUGAAAGUUUGGGGCUCAACCUUAAAAUUGCAGUUGAUACUGGCGUCCUUGAGUGCGGUUGAGGUGUGCGGAAUUCGUGGUGUGGCGGUGAAAUGCUUAGAUAUCACGAAGAACUCCGAUUGCGAAGG